This is an RNA transcript of Gossypium arboreum, 1811 nucleotides long. RefSeq lists it as uncharacterized. Lineage: Eukaryota; Viridiplantae; Streptophyta; Magnoliopsida; Malvales; Malvaceae. The record is from RefSeq and is a predicted model, not a curated record. The transcript is spliced from 8 exons.
UUGCCUUACCCGAUCGUUACGCCCUCUUUUUCUCAUCCUAAAUCCCCCAAAUAAAAUUUAGCUACUCUUUUGCUCAUUCAGAACUUUUAACUCCAUGCCCAUUGCCAUUUUUUCUACCUCAACCCCGAUUCUUAAACGCCCAAAUUUGGAACCCUAGAUUUUUCUCUGCAGAACUUUUCUUAAUCCUUAUUUCGUCUUUGAUUUCGAGAAGCGUAAGUGGCAGCGUCCAGACAGUAAACGCCACUGCCACAGCCAUCGUUUCUGCCGAGUCCUCAUUCCAUCCCUGAGUCUUCAAUUGUUUUAACUAUUCCAAUCUUUGAGGCCAACUGCUUCAAUCUCUUCUAUCAAGUCUAUUUACCUUCUCUCCGAUCACUGUAACAUUUCCAUUCCCUCUUUUUAUUUUCUCCAAUUUAUCUUUUCUUCUUCUUUUUAAUGGUGUUUAACAUUUGCAACAAAUUGAUGGGUUUUUUUUUCUUUUACCUUUUAACGAAGUGUUAUAAAUCAUUUACUAUCAAUUUUCCUUUUCAGACUAUAGAGGUGAUCAUCCGCGAUACGGAUCUACACUGGCUUCCCGCAAGGGAAUGGGCGACCUCGUUCCCAAGGGCACCGGUGUGGCAUUAUAGCUACUGUUUUCAGCACUACUGGAUUCCUUGGUCGUUAUCUUGUGCAACAACUGGCUAAAAUGGGAUCUUAGGUGUUAGUUCCCUUCAGAGGUUCCGAGGAUAACCCUCGUCGUCUCAAGUUGAUGGGAGAUUUAGGACAGGUUGCAUACCUUAUGGAAUUGCGUUUUUUCCCUUUCUAUCUUUGAAUUCAUAUUGAAGUGAUUGUUGUGUUUUUAUUUGGAUUUAAUUUGAUAUUUCUCUUUUAACUUUCUUUCCAUCAUGUCCUGUACUUUUUUUCUUUUUUUUUUCCUUUCAAUUUUACUGGAUAGCUUUAAAUCAUUACUAUUCUUAUUAGUUUGUUCUCACUGCUUAGAUUGAAGGUAGCUGAAAUGGAAAGAAAAAAUUCAAAUUAUUUUUUGUGGUAGAGUAGGGCUUUAUGUUAGUGAUUAUGGGUUUUCGUUAUUCAAUUGGAAGGGUGUCAGGGUUUGAGAGAAGUAGCAGGGUAUAUUAAGGCACAGUUGGAAAGGUUGAAGGACAGAGCUGGGUCAAAUUUCAGGAUUGAGAUUGAAGAGAAUGUUGUUGGUGGGUCAUUCAAUAUGAUGUUCUUAGGACAUGGUAUAUCAUUUGGUUAUAGAAAUCAUAGAAAUAUUUUGGUGAGAAGGAUCUCCGUGCUGUAAUGCUGAAACGUCAUUUUGCAGACACUACUCCGUACUGCAAUGCUAAAAUGUCAUUUUGCAGACACUAUUCUAAAAGCUAAGAAGAAGGCACUAUUGGAUCAUAAAAGGAAAAGAUUGAAGCUCAAAUCUUAGCUGCUGAAGCAGAAGCAAAAAUGAAGGCAGAGGUUGAGUUGAAAAAGCAACGGGAAAGAGAAAGAGAAGCUGCUUGAAUUGCAUUACAAAAGGUGUAUAGAGGUAUCUUCGCCACGUUCCUCACAGGUUCAAGACAGGUUUCAGGGAAGGUACUAAAGCAGCACCAAGAAAGAAGGUUGCAGCAGCUUUUGCUUAAAAGUCAAAUUGUAAUGGUAUGAGGUUUUGUUUUGGAUGAAGCCAUGUUUAUGAGGAAACAUUUAGUGAUGAAGAGUGAAAUUAUGUUCCAUUGGAUGCUUUAGUUGUUAUUUAUUUUCUAUUUGAAUGUAGCUGUCUUAAAUUUUGAACAAUUAUUGGAGCUAGUGUUUGACGCUUAAUUUCUUUAUUGUCUUUUUUUUUUUAA